Molecule: long non-coding RNA, 3682 nt
Filed under: Homo sapiens (human)
Lineage: Eukaryota; Metazoa; Chordata; Mammalia; Primates; Hominidae
Description: HSALNT0349452
Source: RNAcentral
CUCUUUCUUGCUUUGCCUCAUAAUUUUGGACUUACCUAGUAGCUUCUUCUUCUUUUUUUUUUUUUUCCUUUUUCACAUCAGAUGGGAAAUGUGCCAACGUCACAACAAGGUUUGAGGGAGGCACAUCUCAUGCUCGGACAUGAACACCCGAUCAUCAUGCUUAUGAACUACAAAAGGAUCUCCAGUAUGGGCUCACGGCAGGUAAUUGUUUUGAGACUUAUGUCUGAAAUGUUUGUAUCCCACCCAAAUAUUUAAUUGUUAACUUUGAUAGGUGUAGAAUUCUAGGCUAGAAAUAAUUUUUUUCUACAGAAUUCUAAAGUCAUUGUUACAUUAUCUUUUUGCUUCUACUGGGGCUGUUGAGAAAUUCACAGUCAUUUUGGUAUUUUGAGCAAUGAUUUUUACCUUUUUCUGAAAAGUUUUAAAAUUCCCUCUUUUAUGUCUAUUGUUCUGAAAGUUUAAGAUGAUGGAACUUAGUGUGAGUUUAUUUUUAUCUAUUGUACUGAAUAUUUACUGUACCUUUUAAGUCUAGAAACUCAUGCCCUUCAGUACUGAUAAAUUUCUUGGAUUAUUUCUUGUGUCUUUUUUCUUCUAUUUUUCAAGUUCUUUUUCUGAAAUUUUAGUUACUCAGUUGAUGAACUCCUAGAAUGAUUUUCUAUAUUUCUUAUCUUUUAUAUCAUAUCUUCCAUCUUUUUGAUUUUUCAUUCUACUUUCUAAGAGAUUUCCCUAAAUUUAUCUUCUAACUAUUUGACUGAAAUUUUCAUUCUGGCUGUCAAAUUUGAAUUUAUAAUUACUAUCUUGUUUUACAAUUGUUUUCCUUUUGCCAGAAUAUUGUUUUUAUUUAAUAAAUUACAAUAACUUCUCCUAUUUGUCUGAGGAUGUUGAUGAUAGUUUCCUUUUGAAGUUUUUAUUUUCCUGCAGAGUUUUCUAUAAGUUGCUUUUUUUUCCCCCAUAAUAUUUUGGCCUUUACAGUUGGCCCUUGAAUAACAUGAAUUUGAACUGCCUGAGUCUGCUAAUAUGUGGAUUAUCUUCUGCUUCUGCACCCUGAGACAGCAAGACCAACCCUUCCUCUUGCUUCUUUUCCUUAGCCUAUUCAACGUGAAGAUGACUAAGGUGUCUGCUGGAAGCGAGGGAGUCAGCCAUGCAAGUAUCUGGAGGACAAACAUCCCAGUCAGAGGGUUCAGCAAAUGCAAGAUCCCUGAUGUUGGAAUGAGGUUGGUAUAUUCAAGAAACAGAGAGAAAGCCAGUGUGGACUUCUCCAUGUCAGAAAAGAGAGAGAGGAAGGAAAUAAGAGAUGUGGUCAGAGUGGUGAGCUAGAACUGAGCCAUAAAGGGGUUUAUAGACAAGAUGAGAAAACUGGAUCUUAUUCUAAGUUAAGUGGAAGUCUUUGGAGGACUUGGAGUGGGGAAAUGACAUGAUCUAAUUUACCCUUGCAAAAUAUCCCUCUGAAUACUAUGUCGAGAAUUUACUGGGUGGAUGUUAGGGAGGGCGGUGACAUGGAAGUAAAAAGCCAAGUGGGUAGGUGUAUUCAUUGGGAUGGGCUGAGUAAUUCCAAAGGAACAAUGUUCCAUGUUUUGCAGGUCUGUUCCACAUUAUCUUCACUCUAGGACCCAAGCUGAUAAAGCAGCUCCCUCUGGAGCUAUUGAUGGUCUCAUGGAAGAGACAAAAAAAGAUCACAGUGAAUCACAUUCUGCUUCUGAACUCUUCUGCCUGGAAGUGACAAACAUCAUUUCCAUCACAUUUCACUGACCAAAGCAAGUCAUGAGUGUAAGCCUAGUAUCAGUGGGGUGGGGAAGGAGAAGCAAAUUAUUGGAAACCACAGGAGGUUAUUGCAAUAAUAAGGCAAAAAUGAAGCCAGUGGCUGGGUGCAGUGGCUCAUGCCUGUAAUCUUAGCACUUUGGGAGGCCAAGGCAGGUGGAUCACUUGAGCUUAGGAGUUCAAGACCAGCCUGGGCAACAUGGUGAAACCCUGUCUCUACAAAAAAUAAAAAAAAAAUUAGCCAGGCAUGGUGGCAUACACCUGUAGUCCCAGCUACUUGCGGGGCUGAGGCAGGAGCAUCACUUGAACCCAGGAGCUCAAGGCUGCAGUGAGCUGUGAUCUUACCACUGCACUCUAGCCUGGGUGACAGAGUAAGACCUUGUCUCAAUAAAAAAUAAUGAAGCUGGCUUGGUCUAGAGUGGAAACAGUUGAGGUGGUAAAAGGACUUGCUGCUUGAAUAAAUGUGGGGUAUGAGAAACGGAAGAGUUAAGACGGACUCCAGGGUUUUGGUCUGAACACCUUGGUGAAGGAUUUGUACCACUUGCUGAGUUGUAGAAGUCUGAGGGAGGUGCAGGGUUAAGGGGAAAAAUUAGGAAUUCCAUUUUGGACAUUUCUAAUAAGGGAAACAAUGGAUUUAAAGAUAAAAUGUGGGAGUCCUCAGCAUGUAGACUGACUUUGAAGCCAUGGACUGGAUGAGAUCACAUGGAGAAUGAGAGCAGAGAGAGGAAACAAGAAGGCUGAAAGUGAGCCUGGGGUCUGUCAGUCUAUAUAGGUCAGGAGGAAGAGGGGAAUCCAGAGAGGGAGAGAUGGAAGAGACAGAUUGGGAAGAGGGGAAAAAAGAAUGUGGGACUGCCUAGAAACCCAGUAAAAAAAAAGUGUUUCAUGAAAAGAAGGAUCAACAGUGUCAGUUGCUGCUAUUAAGUAAGAUGAGGAUUAAAAUCCAUUGUUGGACUUGGUCAGAUGCAGGCACUAGUGACCUUGACAGGCCAUUGGUGACUUUGUUACAUGGUGGGGGUAAAAGUCUGAUUGAAAUGGGUUGAGAAGAGCCCGAAUGUUCUUCUGAUUCCAAAGUCAAUGCCUACCUUGUUUUGCUAAGCUGCAUAGAAAGUUCUCGUGUGCAGGAUGCAGUCACUGAAAAUGUUGUAGAACUGAAGAAUUUGUACCUCAUUCUUGGAACCACUCAACCUGGAAGAACAACUCCCUACAAACGUGAAGGCAACUACCUGAGCAUAACUGGUUCACUGCCUUUUCUUCUGGGAGUGUGUUGAGUAAAAUUUGAACAGAAAUAUCUGUUUUUCCAUCCAGGCUCUAGGCAAAGUCUCCUUCAAUGAUGGGGCAUGGUACAAAUUUGUUAGCUCCCUUAACUAUGAAGACACAAGAAAAGGUUGGAAAUUAGGAUUAGGAAAAAUAGAAGCUUAUUGUUUACUGCCCAGCUUCAAGUACGGGAAAUAAAACCUUUUUCCAAGAGCAAUACAUUGGAUUAAAUGAAGUAAUUUUACUUCAGAAUGAUACUCCAAGGGGCUUUCCCAAGUAGUAAAACAGACAGCAAAAGCUCUGAAAUAAAGUGAGAGAAAGGUGGGAAAUGGAAAAGAAAAUAAACAUGCAUCUAUUACUGGGUGCAUUUUUGUUUGGCCUGUAGGGCAUUCCUGCUGACAGCCAUUUCUGGCUGUGUAUGAGAUAUGCCAUGGAGACAUGGGAGGACCAGAUGGCACUUCUGAGCCUCACCCUCAGGUACUGAUUGUAUCCAAAAUAAGCCAGGUUGGUAAGGCCAGGAAAACAAGACUUGGGGGAUAUUUUCUAUAAACUGGAAAGACUUCCAACAUCUUUCAAAGAUGGUUAUGGUUCUUGUCUCAUAAUCCUGUGCUCCCAGGCAAUCGCAGUAUUCCAAAUAUUUAAUAACAAGUAAAGAAAAGGGCUUGAGUAAUUG